GGGGGUGAUUCUAGAUUCGACACGGGAGGUGGAAGCGACGCAGCAGGCCGCGGCGCUCGCCCGCGCAACAACGAGCACACUCUAGGAGUGCCGAAACUGACUCCUACGCUCUCGCCGCCGCCUGAGCGAACCCGCUGACAGACCCUCGUCUGCAGGCGGGCCACCGAAUGGCGUGGCAGAGCGCCAGCACUGCGUGAGGCUGGCUGUCCCGCGGGUACGUCUCCGUUCCGUCCCCGCGCCGGGCAUCAUGGAUGAACGGGGUGCGAGCGACCCCCGCCGCGUGGUUCGCCCAAGUGCACGUUUUCAACCGAAACGUGGAGCGGCUGGCCCGGCCAAGGCGCGUUCGCCCGCCUCCGGCCGGUGCAAGACCGAAGGGUGAACUAAGCCUGUAGACCCGUCGUUUCGAAUUUCGUGGACAGCGGUGCAAAUCCGCUCACCUCCACUA
Molecule: transfer-messenger RNA, 445 nt
Filed under: Anaerolineaceae bacterium
Lineage: Bacteria; Bacillati; Chloroflexota; Anaerolineae; Anaerolineales; Anaerolineaceae
Rfam family: transfer-messenger RNA
About the family: Bacterial tmRNA, also known as 10Sa RNA or SsrA, is named for its dual tRNA and mRNA-like properties. Its role is to liberate the mRNA from a stalled ribosome. To accomplish this part of the tmRNA is used as a reading frame that ends in a translation stop signal.
Source: RNAcentral